GGUCAGGUGGUGUAUUUGGUAAUGUCUUUGCUAUAUAUGCAGAAGCCCUGGGUUCAAUUCCCAGUCUGCCCA
Molecule: non-coding RNA, 72 nt
Organism: Hysterangium stoloniferum
Lineage: Eukaryota; Fungi; Basidiomycota; Agaricomycetes; Hysterangiales; Hysterangiaceae
Source: the annotation of a GenBank genome assembly